RNAcentral lists this ribosomal RNA (253 nucleotides) under uncultured bacterium. RNAcentral's name for it is "partial 16S ribosomal RNA". It matches the Rfam family "Bacterial small subunit ribosomal RNA", at positions 524 to 776 of the family's 1533-position model. The record is from RNAcentral.
UACAGAGGUCCCAAGCGUUGUUCGGAUUCACUGGGCGUAAAGGGUGCGUAGGCGGUCGGGUAAGUCUGAUGUGAAAUCUCACAGCUUAACUGUGAAACUGCAUUGGAUACUAUUCGGCUUGAGAGUUGGAGGGGGGACUGGAAUUCUUGGUGUAGCAGUGAAAUGCGUAGAUAUCAAGAGGAACACCAGUGGCGAAGGCGAGUCCCUGGACAACACUGACGCUCAUGACACGAAAGCGUGGGGAGCAAACAGG